RNAcentral lists this ribosomal RNA (372 nucleotides) under Salmonella enterica subsp. enterica serovar Montevideo. RNAcentral's name for it is "bacterial SSU rRNA". It matches the Rfam family "Bacterial small subunit ribosomal RNA", at positions 1132 to 1503 of the family's 1533-position model. The record is from RNAcentral. Lineage: Bacteria; Pseudomonadati; Pseudomonadota; Gammaproteobacteria; Enterobacterales; Enterobacteriaceae.
CGGGAACUCAAAGGAGACUGCCAGUGAUAAACUGGAGGAAGGUGGGGAUGACGUCAAGUCAUCAUGGCCCUUACGACCAGGGCUACACACGUGCUACAAUGGCGCAUACAAAGAGAAGCGACCUCGCGAGAGCAAGCGGACCUCAUAAAGUGCGUCGUAGUCCGGAUUGGAGUCUGCAACUCGACUCCAUGAAGUCGGAAUCGCUAGUAAUCGUGGAUCAGAAUGCCACGGUGAAUACGUUCCCGGGCCUUGUACACACCGCCCGUCACACCAUGGGAGUGGGUUGCAAAAGAAGUAGGUAGCUUAACCUUCGGGAGGGCGCUUACCACUUUGUGAUUCAUGACUGGGGUGAAGUCGUAACAAGGUAACCGU